RNAcentral lists this ribosomal RNA (252 nucleotides) under uncultured bacterium. RNAcentral describes it as "partial 16S ribosomal RNA". It matches the Rfam family "Bacterial small subunit ribosomal RNA", at positions 524 to 775 of the family's 1533-position model. The record is from RNAcentral.
UACGAAGGGGGCGAGCGUUGUUCGGAUUUACUGGGCGUAAAGGGCGCGUAGGCGGCCCUUCAAGUCAGGCGUGAAAGCCCCGGGCUCAACCUGGGAGGUGCGCUUGGGACUGGAGGGCUGGAGUUCGGGAGAGGAGCGUGGAAUUCCCAGUGUAGAGGUGAAAUUCGUAGAUAUUGGGAAGAACACCGGUGGCGAAGGCGGCGCUCUGGACCGAGACUGACGCUGAGGCGCGAAAGCGUGGGGAGCAACAGG